GGUUAAGCGACUAAGCGUACACGGUGGAUGCCCUGGCAGUCAGAGGCGAUGAAGGGCGUGCUAAUCUGCGAUAAGCGCCGGUAAGGUGAUAUGAACCGUUAUAACCGGCGAUACCCGAAUGGGGAAACCCAGUGUGAUUCGUCACACUAUCAUUAACUGAAUCCAUAGGUUAAUGAGGCGAACCGGGGGAACUGAAACAUCUAAGUACCCCGAGGAAAAGAAAUCAACCGAGAUUCCCCCAGUAGCGGCGAGCGAACGGGGAGGAGCCCAGAGCCUGAAUCAGCAUGUGUGUUAGUGGAAGCGUCUGGAAAGGCGCGCGAUACAGGGUGACAGCCCCGUACACAAAAGCGCAUGUGCUGUGAGCUCGAUGAGUAGGGCGGGACACGUGGUAUCCUGUCUGAAUAUGGGGGGACCAUCCUCCAAGGCUAAAUACUCCUGACUGACCGAUAGUGAACCAGUACCGUGAGGGAAAGGCGAAAAGAACCCCGGCGAGGGGAGUGAAAAAGAACCUGAAACCGUGUACGUACAAGCAGUGGGAGCCCCACCACUAAGCCAGUGGUGAACUCCACAUACGCAUCCUUUGCUGAGGAUACGGUUAACGGAGCGAAAGCGACGUUCAACCUCAAAAGAAGC
This 633-nucleotide ribosomal RNA is filed under the name Salmonella enterica. Its description in RNAcentral is "partial 23S ribosomal RNA". It matches the Rfam family "Bacterial large subunit ribosomal RNA", at positions 1 to 661 of the family's 2925-position model. Lineage: Bacteria; Pseudomonadati; Pseudomonadota; Gammaproteobacteria; Enterobacterales; Enterobacteriaceae. The record is from RNAcentral.